RNAcentral lists this ribosomal RNA (407 nucleotides) under bacterium EAB-4IL18.03. Its description in RNAcentral is "bacterial SSU rRNA". It matches the Rfam family "Bacterial small subunit ribosomal RNA", at positions 322 to 739 of the family's 1533-position model. The record is from RNAcentral.
AGACACGGCCCAGACUCNUACGGGAGGCAGCAGUGGGGAAUAUUGCACAAUGGGCGAAAGCCUGAUGCAGCGACGCCGCGUGAGGGAUGACGGCCUUYGGGUUGUAAACCUCUUUCAGCAGGGAAGAAGCGAAAGUGACGGUACCUGCAGAAGAAGCGCCGGCUAAMUACGUGCCAGCAGCCGCGGUAAUACGUAGGGCGCAAGCGUUGUCCGGAAUUAUUGGGCGUAAAGAGCUCGUAGGCGGCUUGUCACGUCGGUUGUGAAAGCCCGGGGCUUAACCCCGGGUCUGCAGUCGAUACGGGCAGGCUAGAGUUCGGUAGGGGAGAUCGGAAUUCCUGGUGUAGCGGUGAAAUGCGCAGAUAUCAGGAGGAANCACCCGGUGGMGAAGGCGGAUCUCUGGGCCGAUA